This 957-nucleotide long non-coding RNA is filed under the name Capsella rubella. Its description in RNAcentral is "long non-coding RNA (CRUB_LNC001234)". The record is from RNAcentral. Lineage: Eukaryota; Viridiplantae; Streptophyta; Magnoliopsida; Brassicales; Brassicaceae.
GUCGUCGGCCAUCUCCACCUCCUUAAACCACCGAUUCACCAGCUCUACCAUAACUUGUCCCAAAAAUACGGCCCAAUCUUCUCCCUCCGAUUCGGCUCCCGCCGCAUCGUGGUCAUAAGUUCCUCUUCUCUCGUCCAAGAAUCAUUCACUGGCCAAAACGAUAUCAUUUUAACAAACCGACCUCUCAACAUGGCGGCCAAAUACAUCAAUUAUAACGGCACCACUGUCGGUACCUCACCUUACGGCGACCACUGGCGUAACCUCCGUCGAAUUUGCACGGUCGAAAUCCUCUCAAACCACCGCCUCAGCAACUUUCUCCACAUCCGCAAAGAAGAAAUCUAUCGGAUGCUCACGCACCUCUCACGUGACACUAACGCCAAUGGUUUCACUCUUGUAAACCUAAGACCACUUCUUUCCGACCUAGCGUUUAACAACAUUGUCAGAAUGGUCACAGGAAAGAUAUACUACGGGAACGAUGAUGUUUCCAAAGAGAAAGAAGAAGAAGCAUUGUUGUAUAAGAAGCUCGUGUCUGAUAUAGCUGCAGCAGCCGGCGCGAGUCACGCUGGCGAUUACUUGCCGGUGCUGAAACUGUUCGGAAACAAGUACGAGACCAAAGUAAAGUCUACUGGCAAAGCCGUCGAUGAGUUCUUGCAGCGUUUGCUCGAUGAGUGUAAGAGAGACAUGGAAAGUAACACAAUGGUAAGUCAUUUGCUCUCUCUCCAACAACAGGAACCAGAGUAUUACACUGACGUUACCAUCAAAGGCCUUAUGAUGGUAAGUACUGUAUAAAUCUCCAUAUUAUAGUAAUUAAUUAAAUCUCUUUUGAGUUAUUUUACGUAAAUUAAUAUUUAAAACCCACCAAAAGGGAAUGAUAAACGCCGGGACGGAGACAACCGCCGUAGCACUCGAGUGGGCGAUGACGAAUUUGUUAAAACAUCCAAAAGUGUUAGAGAAAGC